GAUGAACGCUGGCGGCGUGCCUAAUACAUGCAAGUCGAGCGAACGGACGAGAAGCUUGCUUCUCUGAUGUUAGCGGCGGACGGGUGAGUAACACGUGGAUAACCUACCUAUAAGACUGGGAUAACUUCGGGAAACCGGAGCUAAUACCGGAUGAUAUUUUGAACCGCAUGGUCCAAAAGUGAAAGACGGUCUUGCUGUCACUUAUAGAUGGAUCCGCGCUGCAUUAGCUAGUUGGUAAGGUAACGGCUUACCAAGGCAACGAUGCAUAGCCGACCUGAGAGGGUGAUCGGCCACACUGGAACUGAGACACGGUCCAGACUCCUACGGGAGGCAGCAGUAGGGAAUCUUCCGCAAUGGGCGAAAGCCUGACGGAGCAACGCCGCGUGAGUGAUGAAGGUCUUCGGAUCGUAAAACUCUGUUAUUAGGGAAUAACAUAUGUGUAAGUAACUGUGCACAUCUUGACGGUACCUAAUCAGAAAGCCACGGCUAACUACGUG
This 497-nucleotide ribosomal RNA is filed under the name uncultured bacterium. Its description in RNAcentral is "partial 16S ribosomal RNA". It matches the Rfam family "Bacterial small subunit ribosomal RNA", at positions 28 to 507 of the family's 1533-position model. The record is from RNAcentral.